CUAAGCUACUAAGGGCAGACGGUGGAUGCCUUGGGUGGAAGAGGCGAUGAAGGACGUACUAGGCUGCGAUAAGCCUCGGGGAGCCGCCAAGAGGCUUUGAUCCGGGGAUUUCCGAAUGGGGCAACCCGGCUUAUAGAGAUAUAAGUCACUCCAUAGUGAGAGCGAACGAGGGGAAGUGAAACAUCUCAGUACCCUCAGGAAGAGAAAUCAAACGAGAUUCCCCUAGUAGCGGUGAGCGAACGGGGAAGAGGCCAAACCGAUAGUUUACUAUCGGGGUUGUAGGACUGCAUUUAGCAUUCUGAUUAGUUAGUAGAACACUCUGGAAAGUGUGGCUAUAAAGGGUGAUAGCCCCGUAUACGAAAACUAAGACGAGCGAGCAGUAUCCUGAGUAGGUCGGGACACGUGUAAUCCUGACUGAAUCUGGGGGGACCACCCUCCAAGCCUAAAUACUACUUCCACACCGAUAGCGAACCAGUACCGUGAGGGAAAGGUGAAAAGAACCGUGGGUAACGGAGUGAAAUAGAACCUGAAACCGUCUGCUUACAAUCAUUCGGAGCACCAUGGAUUUAUCCGGUGUGACGGACUGCCUUUUGCAUAAUGAGCCUGCGAGUUGUGGUAUCCGGCAAGGUUAAGUUAUUACUGAGCCGUAGCGAAAGCGAGUCUGAAUAGGGCGCUAAGUCGGAUGCUGCAGACCCGAAGCUAGGUGAUCUAUCCAUGACCAGGUUGAAGCGGGUGUAAGAACCCGUGGAGGACCGAACUCGCUGACGUUGAAAAGUCUUGGGAUGAGUUGUGGAUAGGGGUGAAAGGCCAAUCAAACCUAGUGAUAGCUGGUUCUCUCCGAAAUAUAUUGAGGUAUAGCGUCGUGUUGCAACACAUAGGGGUAAAGCACUGAUUGGGCUAGGGCUGCUCACCGCGGUACCAAACCCUGUCAAACUCUGAAUACUAUGUGCCAAGUCACGGCAGUCAGGCGGCGAGUGAUAAAAUCCGUCGUCAAGAGGGGAACAACCCAGACUACCGAAUAAGGCCCCCAAGUCAUAUCUUAGUGGAAAAGGAUGUGGGACUACUUUGACAACCAGGAUGUUGGCUUAGAAGCAGCCACCAUUUAAAGAAAGCGUAACAGCUCACUGGUCUAGUGGACCUGCGCCGAAAAUAUAACGGGGCUCAAGAUAUGCGCCGAAUUCGUAGAUUCUUCUUUAGAAGAGUGGUAGGAGAGCGUUCGUGUCAGCGUUGAAGGUGUACCGGUAAGGAGCGCUGGAGCGGCACGAAGUGAGCAUGCAGGCAUGAGUAGCGAUAAAAUACGUGAGAAUCGUAUUCGCCGUAAACCCAAGGUUUCCGACGCUAUGCUCGUCAUCGUCGGGUUAGUCGGGUCCUAAGACGAGUCCGAAAGGGGUAGUCGAUGGCAAAUCGGUUAAUAUUCCGAUACUAACAAUAGUGUGCGACGGGGGGACGCUUAGGGCUAAGCGAGCCAGCUGAUGGAAUAGCUGGUCGAAGGAUGUAGGUUGACUUUCAGGCAAAUCCGAAAGUUGUAUCCGAGAUCUGACAGGCACUUGAUGUUCUUCGGAACGGAUGGUGAAUCGCUGAUGCCGUCGAGCCUAGAAAAGCCUCUAAGUUUAGCUAUUGUUACCCGUACCGUAAACCGACACAGGUGGGUGAGAUGAGUAUUCUAAGGCGCGUGGAAGAACCCCUGUUAAGGAACUCUGCAAACUGACACCGUAACUUCGGAAGAAGGUGUGCCCUCUAUUGUGUAAGGACUUGCUCCUGAAGCAUAUGAGGGUCGCAGAGAAUAGUCCCUCCCGACUGUUUAUCAAAAACACAGCACUCUGCUAACACGUAAGUGGAUGUAUAGGGUGUGACGCCUGCCCGGUGCUGGAAGGUUAAGGGGAUUUGUUAGCGCAAGCGAAGCUUUGAACCGAAGCCCCAGUAAACGGCGGCCGUAACUAUAACGGUCCUAAGGUAGCGAAAUUCCUUGUCGGUUAAAUACUGACCUGCAUGAAUGGUGUAACGAGAUGGGAACUGUCUCAACCAGAGAUCCAGUGAAAUUGUAGUGGAGGUGAAAAUUCCUCCUACCCGCGGAAAGACGGAAAGACCCCGUGGACCUUUACUAUAGCUUGACACUGCUGUUGGGAUAAAGAUGUGCAGGAUAGGUGGGAGGCUUUGAGGAUGUGACGCCAGUUGCAUCUGAGCCAUUGUUGAGAUACCACUCUUCUUUAUUCUGAUAGCUAACUGGGACAUAUUAUCUAUGUUCAGGACAAUGUCUGGUGGGUAGUUUGACUGGGGCGGUCGCCUCCUAAAAAGUAACGGAGGCUUACAAAGGUUGGCUCAGAACGGUUGGAAAUCGUUCGUAGAGUAUAAUGGUACAAGCCAGCUUGACUGUGAGACAUACACGUCGAGCAGAGACGAAAGUCGGUCAUAGUGAUCCGGUGGUUCUGUGUGGAAGGGCCAUCGCUCAAAGGAUAAAAGGUACCCCGGGGAUAACAGGCUGAUCUCCCCCAAGAGCUCACAUCGACGGGGAGGUUUGGCACCUCGAUGUCGGCUCAUCGCAUCCUGGGGCUGGAGCAGGUCCCAAGGGUAUGGCUGUUCGCCAUUUAAAGCGGUACGCGAGCUGGGUUCAGAACGUCGUGAGACAGUUCGGUCCCUAUCUUCCGUGGGCGUAGGAAAGUUGAAGAGAUCUGUCCCUAGUACGAGAGGACCGGGAUGGACGUACCACUGGUGUACCGGUUGUUCUGCCAAGGGCAUCGCCGGGUAGCUAAGUACGGAUGUGAUAACCGCUGAAGGCAUAUAAGCGGGAAGCCGACUCUAAGAUGAACUUUCCCUGAAGGUCGCAAGAAGACUACUUGCUUGAUAGGCUAGGUGUGUAAUUGCAGUAAUGCAUUUAGCUAACUAGUACUAAUAGACCGAUCGGCUCAUAUCG
This 2911-nucleotide ribosomal RNA is filed under the name freshwater metagenome. RNAcentral's name for it is "bacterial LSU rRNA". It matches the Rfam family "Bacterial large subunit ribosomal RNA". The record is from RNAcentral.